Molecule: ribosomal RNA, 265 nt
Filed under: uncultured archaeon
Lineage: Archaea
Description: partial 16S ribosomal RNA
Rfam family: Archaeal small subunit ribosomal RNA
Source: RNAcentral
AGGGUGUAAACGCUGCAGACUUGGUGUUGGAGGCCCUUUGGGGGCAUUCAGUGCCGGAGAGAAGUUGUUAAGUCUGCUACUUGGGGAGUACGUCCGCAAGGAUGAAACUUAAAGGAAUUGGCGGGGGAGGCACCGCAACGGGAGGAGCGUGCGGUUUAAUUGGAUUCAACACCGUAAAACUACACCAGGGAAGACUGUUACAUGAAGGCCGAGAUGAAGACUCUGCUAGAUUUUCUAGAGAGGAGGUGCAUGGCGGUCAGUGACU